GACGAACGCUGGCGGCGUGCUUAACACAUGCAAGUCGAACGAAGUGGCGAACGGGUGAGUAAUACGUGAGUAACCUUCCCUCCUUUUUGGGAUAAGCCUUGGAAACGGGGUCUAAUACCGCAUAAAGGGGGAUGGGCGCGCGGCCUAUCAGCUUGUUGGUGGGGUGAUGGCCUACCAAGGCGGUGACGGGUAGCCGGCCUGAGAGGGUGAACGGGCACAUGGGGCCUGGGAUACGGCCCAGAGUCAUACGGGAGGGAGCAGUGGGGGAGAUUGGACAAAGGGCGAAAGCCGGCUGCAGCGGCGCAGCGUGGGGGAUUAAGGCUUUUGGGGUGCAAACCGCGGUCGCGAGCGAACGGGUAGGUGGAGAAGAAGCGCCGGCUAACUACGUGCCAGCAGCCGCGGUAAUAC
RNAcentral lists this ribosomal RNA (408 nucleotides) under uncultured bacterium. RNAcentral's name for it is "partial 16S ribosomal RNA". It matches the Rfam family "Bacterial small subunit ribosomal RNA", at positions 28 to 526 of the family's 1533-position model. The record is from RNAcentral.